GUGCUCACUUAGGCAGCACACAGACUAAAACUGGAACAAUACAGAGAUUAGCAUGGCCCGCGUGCAAGGAUGACAUGCAAAUUCGGGAAGCAUUCUGUAUUUUU
Small nuclear RNA from Rhinolophus ferrumequinum (greater horseshoe bat), 104 nucleotides. The record is from Ensembl. NCBI's taxonomy places the organism in Eukaryota, Metazoa, Chordata, Mammalia, Chiroptera, Rhinolophidae.